This is an RNA transcript of Portunus trituberculatus (swimming crab), 1212 nucleotides long. RefSeq lists it as uncharacterized. NCBI's taxonomy places the organism in Eukaryota, Metazoa, Arthropoda, Malacostraca, Decapoda, Portunidae. The transcript is spliced from 2 exons. The record is from RefSeq and is a predicted model, not a curated record.
AAAAUGCACUCCACUAUAUUUACUCUAUUCCAAAUCUGUGUACUUUCAUACUUCAGUUAGUAAUACAUUAUAUAAUAAAAGCUGGUACCCCUACACUGCCGAGUACAAGGCUACUUCACUGGAAGAGAUGAGUCAUAAGUCUGUUGCCACUGAUAACAUCAGCAGGUUACUCUGGCAUCUGUGUACAUUAAUCUCAAGUUUUCACCCUAUAACAACAAAUCCAUGCAGUUGAAGUUGUUCUAUUAUGAACUCGCCACUGGAAAAAGACACCGAGGAGGACCAAAGCGCAGCUACAAAGAUCAGCUCAAGGGCAUCGUGGCUCAAAUCAACAUUGAGCCUUCCUUGUGGUAACAAAUUGUUAGGAGCCGCAGAGGCUGGAGGACAGUUGUGAGCAACGGCACAUUGGCUUUCAGGGAAAACAAAACAGCGCGAGAAGGAAAUGCGAAAAAAGGAGAAAUUAGAACAACCCGGUCCUCCUCCCAUCCCCCCCUCCAAUGAGACCUCUGUCCUCAGUUGUUCCACCACCAGCUUGUCCUCUUAUUAGGCAUAAACGCCACCUGAGGAGACCAGAUAACUAACUGAAGACAGACCCAAUGUUCGGAUACGACCUCUGCUGGUGCCGACAGCAACGAUGACUACUAUUACUGCUAUUAUUACAACCACUACUACUACUACUACUGUUACUACUACUAUUACUACUACUAACUGUUGCUGUUGCUGUUGUUGCUACUGCUGCUGCUGUCACCGUCGCCGCUGCGGUACUUGCGGUACAAUCAUAAGAAAGCACACCAUAAGGAUAGAUCUUCUUUUUUCGUCUUCUAUUUUUAAUUUCUAACCUUACAAAACCGCGAGGCACAAAAGUUUACGCCUCUUUCGGCAAAACGAACCACGUCUGUAUGAUAGAAAAAAAAUAAUAAGGGCAUUACAUCAGGGAUUUUGAUUUAUUUGUAGUCAUUAUAAUUUUCCGUAAAAAAGAACUGGAGGAACAAAAUGAAUCAAAGUAGAGGAGAGGCAAAACAUUUAGAUAAAAAACAAACAUUCCUGAGAUGAGCUGAUCAUUCCUUGGAAGAAAAAAGUUCACUAAGAAUUCUGGUAGAAAAUUGAUUCAUUCUUUUUCUUUUCCUUCUUUUAUCUUUUUUUUGUUUGUUUGUUGUGAGAGAGAGAGAGAGAGAGAGAGAGAGAGAGAGAGAGAGAGAGAGAGAGAGAGAGAGA